Molecule: long non-coding RNA, 1423 nt
Filed under: Vitis vinifera (wine grape)
Lineage: Eukaryota; Viridiplantae; Streptophyta; Magnoliopsida; Vitales; Vitaceae
Description: long non-coding RNA (VVIN_LNC003479)
Source: RNAcentral
AGGAAUUUAACCACUUUGUAUCUUUAUGAAAACAAGCUUUCUGGUUCCAUCCCUCAUGAAAUUGGAUUGUUGAGAUCUCUUAAUGAUCUUGACUUGUCAAAUAACAAUCUCAGUGGUCUCAUCCCACCUUCCAUAGGAAACUUGAGGAAUUUAACCACUUUAUAUCUUCAAAAAAACAAGCUUUCUGGUUCUAUCCCUCAAGAAAUUGGAUUGUUGAGAUCUCUUAAUGAUCUUGCGUUCUAUACUAACAAUCUUAGUGGUCCCAUCCCAUCUUCCAUAGGAAACUUAAGGAAUUUAACCACUUUGCAUCUUUAUGAAAACAAGCUUUCUGGUUCCAUCCCUCAUGAAAUUGGAUUGUUCAGAUCUCUUAAUGAUCUUGCGUUGUCUACUAACAAUCUUAGUGGUCCCAUCCCACCUUCCAUAGGAAACUUGAGGAAUUUAACCACUUUGCAUCUUUAUGAAAACAAGCUUUCUAGUCCCAUCCCUCAUGAAAUUGGAUUGUUCAGAUCUCUUAAUGAUCUUGAGUUGUCAACUAACAAUCUCAGUGGUCCUAUCCCACCUUCCAUAGGAAACUUGAGGAAUUUAACCACUUUGUAUCUUGAUGAAAACGAGCUUUCUAGUUACAUCCCUCAUGAAAUUGGAUUGUUGAGAUGUCUUAAUGAUCUUGUGUUGCAUAUUAACAAUCUCAAUGGUCCCAUCCCGCUUUCCAUAGGAAACUUGAGGAAUUUAACCACUUUGUAUCUUUAUGAAAAAAAGCUUUCUGGUUCCAUCCCUCAUGAAAUUGGAUUUUUGAGAUCUCUUAAUGAUCUUGACUUGUCAAAUAACAAUCUCAGUGGUCCUAUCCCACCUUCCAUAGGAAACUUGAGGAAUUUAACCACUUUGUAUCUUUAUGAAAACAAGCUUUCUGGUUCCAUCCCUCAUGAAAUUGGAUUGUUGAGAUCUCUUAAUGAUCUUGAGUUUUCAAAUAACAAUCCCAGUGGCCUCAUCCCACCUUCCAUAGGAAACUUGAGGAAUCUAACCACUUUGUAUCUUCAUAAAAACAAGCUUUCUGGUUCUAUCCCUCAAGAAAUUGGAUUGUUGAGAUCUCUUAAUGAUCUUGAGUUGUCAACUAAUAGUCUCAGUGGUCCUAUAUCGCCUUCCAUAGGAAACUUGAGGAAUUUAACCACUUUGUAUCUUUAUGAAAACAAGCUUUUUGGUUCCAUCCCUCAUGAAAUUGGAUUGUUGAGAUCUCUUAAUGAUCUUGACUUGUCAAAUAACAAUCUCAGUGGUCUCAUCCCACCUUCCAUAGGAAACUUGAGGAAUUUAACCAUUUUGUAUCUUCAGAAAAACAAGAUUUCUGGUCCCAUCCCUCAAGAAAUUGGAUUGUUGAGAUCUCUUAAUGAUCUUGCGUUCUAUACUAACAAUCUCAGUGGUCCCAUCCCAC